Long non-coding RNA from Lynx canadensis (Canada lynx), 487 nucleotides. RefSeq lists it as uncharacterized. The transcript has 3 exons. NCBI's taxonomy places the organism in Eukaryota, Metazoa, Chordata, Mammalia, Carnivora, Felidae. The record is from RefSeq and is a predicted model, not a curated record.
GGGACGGGGGCGUCCACACAGGCCGGGGGCUAUGGCGGUCGGGGGAGUGCGUGGUCCGUGGACCUUGGACCACCGAGAUGUGGAAGCCCCAACCGCUUUGAAGUAUAUGAGGAAAAUCCAGCCUCAGAUACAUGGUCCAACAAGGAAAGAGCUACAAACCAACCUCCGAACAGCUUAGAGCACCACCAGGCACCUGGCAAGGCCUUGGAAACUGAUGAAUGAAGCCGAUGCACUGGUGGACCAUGCCCACCCCAUCCCCAACUUGGUACACCACUGCCUACAGGGAAAGAGAGAGGUGCUUUGAAAGAAUUAUGGUGGAGUAACAACGUGGAGAAGAGUGGACCCAUCUGCAGUGGUUGGAGGAAAAGAAGAAAAGGCUAGAAAAGACACUAGGAUUGGGAGAAGUACCUCUUCCUCUAUUCAGCCCAUGUGGUCUGACUUUUUUUUUUUUUUUUAAUGUUGAGAGGGCGAGCAACAGCGCACACAA